UUAACACAUGCAAGUCGAACGGUAACAGGAAGCAGCUUGCUGCUUCGCUGACGAGUGGCGGACGGGUGAGUAAUGUCUGGGAAACUGCCUGAUGGAGGGGGAUAACUACUGGAAACGGUAGCUAAUACCGCAUAACGUCGCAAGACCAAAGAGGGGGACCUUCGGGCCUCUUGCCAUCGGAUGUGCCCAGAUGGGAUUAGCUAGUAGGUGGGGUAACGGCUCACCUAGGCGACGAUCCCUAGCUGGUCUGAGAGGAUGACCAGCCACACUGGAACUGAGACACGGUCCAGACUCCUACGGGAGGCAGCAGUGGGGAAUAUUGCACAAUGGGCGCAAGCCUGAUGCAGCCAUGCCGCGUGUAUGAAGAAGGCCUUCGGGUUGUAAAGUACUUUCAGCGGGGAGGAAGGCGAUAAGGUUAAUAACCUUGUCGAUUGACGUUACCCGCAGAAGAAGCACCGGCUAACUCCGUGCCAGCAGCCGCGGUAAUACGGAGGGUGCAAGCGUUAAUCGGAAUUACUGGGCGUAAAGCGCACGCAGGCGGUCUGUCAAGUCGGAUGUGAAAUCCCCGGGCUCAACCUGGGAACUGCAUUCGAAACUGGCAGGCUAGAGUCUUGUAGAGGGGGGUAGAAUUCCAGGUGUAGCGGUGAAAUGCGUAGA
Molecule: ribosomal RNA, 657 nt
Filed under: Enterobacter hormaechei
Lineage: Bacteria; Pseudomonadati; Pseudomonadota; Gammaproteobacteria; Enterobacterales; Enterobacteriaceae
Description: bacterial SSU rRNA
Rfam family: Bacterial small subunit ribosomal RNA
Source: RNAcentral